This 623-nucleotide ribosomal RNA is filed under the name uncultured bacterium. RNAcentral describes it as "bacterial SSU rRNA". It matches the Rfam family "Bacterial small subunit ribosomal RNA", at positions 338 to 956 of the family's 1533-position model. The record is from RNAcentral.
CCUACGGGAGGCAGCAGUAAGGAAUAUUGGUCAAUGGACGCAAGUCUGAACCAGCCAUGCCGCGUGCAGGAUGACGGCCUUCUGGGUUGUAAACUGCUUUUAUACGGGAAGAAACCUCUGGUUGCGAUCAGAGCUGACGGUACCGUAAGAAUAAGGACCGGCUAACUUCGUGCCAGCAGCCGCGGUAAUACGAAGGGUCCAAGCGUUAUCCGGAUUUAUUGGGUUUAAAGGGUGCGUAGGCGGCUUAUUAAGUCAGUGGUGAAAGACUUCAGCUUAACUGAAGAACUGCCAUUGAUACUGAUGAGCUUGAAUAUACUUGAGGUGGGCGGAAUGUGUCAUGUAGCGGUGAAAUGCUUAGAUAUGACACAGAACACCGAUUGCGAAGGCAGCUCGCUAAAGUAUGAUUGACGCUGAUGCACGAAAGCGUGGGGAGCAAACAGGAUUAGAUACCCUGGUAGUCCACGCCCUAAACGUUGAUAACUCGAUGUGUGCGAUAUACAGUACGCGUCCAAGCGAAAGCAUUAAGUUAAUCCACCUUGGGAAGUACGGUUCGCAAGAUUGAAACCUUAAAAUUAGAGUUAGAGGCGNGAGAGNGCGACGGACGACGACGAGGGAGGUAGGAG